UGUAUUGUGGUUCGUGGUGUUGCAAUGUAUUGUGGUGUGGUGUGUUGUAGGGCUGACCCCUUUGUGUCAACUGGUCGAUUGUUUGGUCGAUACGCUUUUGAUCGGCCAAGAUUUCUUUAGUCGAACAGUAGCAGACACCUUUCUGAUUGGCUCCUGUCUGAGUGGACUAAUCCACUGUGGAGGCCGUGGCACAGUCUAUCAGUCUAAAACAUGUGCUACUGAAAUUGUAUAUGUUUAUAUUAUGUAAGAAGGGUGCAACACUAAUAAAAAUACAAAAUAAAUUAUAACAAAUGCGCUUUCUCCAACGUUUGAUAGCGGUCGCUGUCCGCGGUUCUGAAAUAUCAGUGCGCUGUUGAAUUGGGGCCAUUUCCUAGACCAUGUAAUAGCAUCCGCUAUGUAAUAGCAAAGUAAACCAGCUUAUUGGUGUUGAGAACAAUCUGGCGGAGGCAGCAGAGACGAGAAAACAGUCAUUGCCUUAAUUGUCUAAGAAUUAGGCUUAGUAUAGAAACCUUGUAUAACCACCAUCGAGCUGUAGACCUCAGAGAGCAUCCUGUUUAGUCUUAACACCAUCAUUUACUUAGGCCUAUAUUUCAAUACUUAUAUAGGCUACAGUACUGUAUCAAUUAGUCAUUCAUUUGUUCAUGUCAUCCCACAGCAUACGAGUCAUUCAUGAUUUGAAGUGCAGUCAAGCAUUUUAGUUCAAAUAAAAUAACACAGCGAACCUUAAAUAAAUGGCGUGAACAAUAAAUAAACCGCUCCGCUUCGGCAUUCGCGAAUACAUGCGACUGUUUUACUAUUUGCUGUAAUAAAGGCUUUACAAAAAGAAAAGAAAAAGUUACAACAGACUCUGUCACGCUGUGUAAUGAUAGGAGACAGGCGCAGGAAUACGAAAUCGGGUUUUUAUUUCAAAUCAAAUCAAAUUGAUUUCUCCACCCAAAAUAAAGUACCAUGAAAACGAUGGGGACGAAGCCCAAAACAGACAUAUAUAUAUAUAUAUAUAAAUAAUACACAGGAUGAGAGCCGUAAUAACAAUAUCACGUAGUACAAAAGCCGAUACAAUAGAGCACAGGUACUCACAGGACCAACGGACAUGAGGACAAUAACCGACAAGACAAUGGGGAACAGAGGGCACAUAUAUAACAUACUAAUCAGGGGGAAUGGGAACCAGGUGUGCAUAAUGAGACAAGACAAUGGGGAACAGAGGGCACAUAUAUAACAUACUAAUCAGGGGGAAUGGGAACCAGGUGUGCGUAAUGAGACAAGACAAUGGGGAACAGAGGGCACAUAUAUAACAUACUAAUCAGGGGGAAUGGGAACCAGGUGUGCGUAAUGAGACAAGACAAUGGGGAACAGAGGGCACAUAUAUAACAUACUAAUCAGGGGGAAUGGGAACCAGGUGUGCGUAAUGAGACAAGACAAUGGGGAACAGAGGGCACAUAUAUAACAUACUAAUCAGGGGGAAUGGGAACCAGGUGUGCGUAAUGAGACAAGACAAUGGGGAACAGAGGGCACAUAUAUAACAUACUAAUCAGGGGGAAUGGAAACCAGGUGUGCGUAAUGAGACAAGACAAUGGGGAACAGAGGGCACAUAUAUAACAUACUAAUCAGGGGGAAUGGAAACCAGGUGUGCGUAAUGAGACAAGACAAUGGGGAACAGAGGGCACAUAUAUAACAUACUAAUCAGGGGGAAUGGAAACCAGGUGUGCAUAAUGAGACAAGACAAUGGGGAACAGAGGGCACAUAUAUAACAUACUAAUCAGGGGGAAUGGGAACCAGGUGUGCAUAAUGAGACAAGACAAUCCAGGGUUGGUGGGGAUGAUCCAGUUCAGUGACGCCUAGAAGGCCGGUGACAUAGACCUCCGGAGCUGGUGAAUGGAAUGAGCAGCAGAACCGGGGGGGGGUCUGAAACUGGUGAAUGGAAUGAGCAGCAGAACCGGGGGGGAUCUGAAACUGGUGAAUGGAAUGA
Molecule: long non-coding RNA, 1966 nt
Organism: Oncorhynchus keta (chum salmon)
Lineage: Eukaryota; Metazoa; Chordata; Actinopteri; Salmoniformes; Salmonidae
Exons: 3
Source: RefSeq, a predicted model, not a curated record